UACAGAGGUCCCAAGCGUUGUUCGGAUUUACUGGGCGUAAAGGGUGCGUAGGCGGCGAGGAAAGUUUGAGGUGAAAUCUCCAGGCUCAACUUGGAAAAUGCCUUGAAGACUUCCUUGCUCGAGGGUCGUAGAGGAGACUGGAAUUCUCGGUGUAGCAGUGAAAUGCGUAGAUAUCGAGAGGAACACCAGUGGCGAAAGCGGGUCUCUGGACGACACCUGACGCUGAGGCACGAAAGCCAGGGGAGCAAACGGG
This 253-nucleotide ribosomal RNA is filed under the name uncultured bacterium. RNAcentral's name for it is "partial 16S ribosomal RNA". It matches the Rfam family "Bacterial small subunit ribosomal RNA", at positions 524 to 776 of the family's 1533-position model. The record is from RNAcentral.